RNAcentral lists this ribosomal RNA (303 nucleotides) under uncultured bacterium. Its description in RNAcentral is "bacterial SSU rRNA". It matches the Rfam family "Bacterial small subunit ribosomal RNA", at positions 355 to 674 of the family's 1533-position model. The record is from RNAcentral.
UAGGGAAUUUUGCGCAAUGGGGGAAACCCUGACGCAGCAACGCCGCGUGAUUGAUGAAGCCCUUCGGGGUGUAAAGAUCUGUCAGUGGGGACGAAACUUGACGGUACCCACAGAGGAAGCAUCGGCUAACUCCGUGCCAGCAGCCGCGGUAAUACGGGGGAUGCAAGCGUUGUCCGGAAUCAUUGGGCGUAAAGAGUUCGUAGGUGGCACGUUAAGUCUGGUGUUAAAUGCAGGGGCUCAACCUCUGUUCGGCACUGGAUACUGGCGAGCUUGAAUGCGGUAGAGGUAAAGGGAAUUCCUGGU